Molecule: long non-coding RNA, 1811 nt
Organism: Homo sapiens (human)
Lineage: Eukaryota; Metazoa; Chordata; Mammalia; Primates; Hominidae
Source: Ensembl
ACUCUGCCUAUUUGCUGUCACAUCUUGGCUGGCAGCAGGAGAGUCAAACCUGACAGGGACCGUGAAAAGCCUGGAGUUUUCAGCCUGCUAGGCAAGCGGCGGUGCCAUAGAGAUUCUGAUCGGGUCCCAGCUCUUCUAUUCUCGAAGCACCCCUGUCCCCUAUACCUCUCAUCCUGCAGAGAAAUACUGCUGUACGCUGUGCCUCUUUCCAGCAAGAAAGGUUUCUUCAUCUACUCUAGGCUGCAUUUUAGCAUUUACCCCAAGGCCUGUUACAAAUGGACAGAAAAUUAAAUUUUUCUUUUUCCUCUUAGGAAGAGAAAACCUAACUAUAUUUCCAACUUAUAACAGUGUAUUUUCCACGUUUUCAUUGUAUCAUGGUCAUGUGUAGCCCUUUGCUGAUAGACAGGGAACAUGGAUGGAGCUGGAGCAUGGAUAAUAACUGAGGAAAGGAAAACCAAAGACCACAUGUUCUCACUUGCAAGUGGGAGCUAAAUGAUAAGAACGUACGAACACAAAGAAAGAAACAACAGACACUGGGGUCUACUUGAGGGUGGAGGGUGGGAGGAGGGAGAGGAGCACAAAAGGUAACUAUUGGAUAUGGGCUUAAUUCCUGGGUGAUAAAAUAAUCUGUACAACAAAUCCCCGUGACAUGAGUUUACUGAUGUAACAAACCUUCACAUGUACUUCUGAACCUAAAAUAAAAGUUACAAAAGAAUUAUUUUCUAUUAUUAAACAUGUCCUUUGGAAACAUUUUCAUAUAUAACUUUGAAUACUUUGUUGUGCCCUGAGGAAAGUAUGCAGUAGCUGAUUUUUGACUUUUAUUGAAAAUGUUUUUUGUUCUCCAUUCUUCACAAUUUUUCCAUUGAAAUGUAAUGAUAAUACCUGCAUCGUCUACCAAUCCAAACAAUAUAUAGUCAAAAGCGAAAUUGAUAGUCUCUCACUUUCUCUUUCUAAUCCCAUUUUCUAAUGUAACUACUGUAAACUAUGAUUUCCUUUGCUGAUAGAAACAAAUGCCACACACACAUGCGCACAUAUAUACAUAUAUACCCAUUGAAGAUUAAAAAACAAACAAACAUGAGGACCUAACAUGGAGCUGCUAUUCUUCCCUAAUGGUCUGUUGCGGACCUAUUUUGAAGUCGAUGCAUAAUGAUCCACAUUUUUAAAUAGCUGCUUAUUGUUUCAUAGAAUUAAUAUAUCAUGGUUUAGGAAACCAUUUCCCUAUAUAUGGAUAUCUAAGUCUAUUCCAGCUGCAGUAACAAAAUGUCAUAAACUGGGUAUCUUAUAAAUAACAGAAAUUUAUUUCUCACAGUUAUGGGUCUGGGAGUUCCAAGAUUAAGGUAUCACCAGAUUUGAUGUCUGGUGAGGGCUUGUUCCUCAUAGACAGUGUCUUCUUGCUGUAUCCUCACAUGGCAGAAAGGGCAGACAAACUCCUUUGGGCCUCUUUUGUAAGGGCACAAAUCCCUUUCAUUCUCUAAAGGCCUCAUCUCUUGCUACUAUUGCACUGAGGAUUAGGAUUCAACAUAUAAAUUUUGAGGGAACACAAAUAUGCAGACUAUAGCAGUGGAUAGUCCAGUUAUUUACAGAUAUUUUUAUUAUAAAUCUUUUAGAUAUCUUUUUGGGUAAGACUGUUGACAGUAUCAGACAUUGCUGAUUUUUCUUUUUUCUUUCCCCCUGAUGGAAUCCUAAAAAUGAAGAUACUCAGUGAGGGAGUGUGCGUACUAUAAAUUUUAUAUUGCUAGCUUUAUUUUCCAAAAUAUUAUAAAAAUGUACAUUCAUCAAUAAUAAAUGAGACUGCCUUUUUCUGUAGGUUU